RNAcentral lists this ribosomal RNA (434 nucleotides) under uncultured bacterium. RNAcentral's name for it is "partial 16S ribosomal RNA". It matches the Rfam family "Bacterial small subunit ribosomal RNA", at positions 29 to 507 of the family's 1533-position model. The record is from RNAcentral.
AGUGAACGCUGGCGGCAGGCCUAACACAUGCAAGUCGAACGAACCUUUCGGGGUUAGUGGCGGACGGGUGAGUAACACGUGGGAACGUGCCUUUAGGUUCGGAAUAACUCAGGGAAACUUGUGCUAAUACCGAAUGUGCCCUUCGGGGGAAAGAUUAAUCGCCUUUAGAGCGGCCCGCGUCUGAUUAGCUAGUUGGUUGAGGUAAUGGCUCACCAAGGCGACGAUCAGUAGCUGGUCUGAGAGGAUGAUCAGCCACAUUGGGACUGAGACACGGCCCAAACUCCUACGGGAGGCAGCAGUGGGGAAUCUUGCGCAAUGGGCGAAAGCCUGACGCAGCCAUGCCGCGUGAAUGAUGAAGGUCUUAGGAUUGUAAAAUUCUUUCACCGGGGACGAUAAUGACGGUACCCGGAGAAGAAGCCCCGGCUAACUUCGUG